AGGCACAGGGCAUGUACAUCAACAUGGUCUCUAGCAUCAACAUAGCCCACAGAAUCAACAUGGCCUCCAGUGUGACCACAGACCAUGGACACCUUCAUGGCCCUCAGUGGCAGUACAGGUCAUGGACAUCAACAUGGUCUCCAGCAGCAACAUGGCCCCUGACAUCAGCACAGCUUCAGAUUCCAUCAAUCCCUUUGGUUACCAGCUACACCAUUCAGCAGCAAGCAGAAGUGCAUGUGAUUUCCUAGAACAGAGACCGUGUAGUUAGAACAGUCAUGAUCCAGCUUACGAGGACAGAGCUAGCAGCAAAGACCCAGACACGACCCCGGCACACAAAGCAUCUGCUUUUAAUUUUAUGUCUUCUUGAACUUAAUGUCCAUCCUCUUGAAAUAGGGUCCAGAGGAGUUCCACGAACAGCAAAUGCGAGAUGGAGAUGUCUCUUUUCUAAGAACUGAUAGAAGAAUCUUCUUAUUUGCAAGACAAAGACCUUGGAUUUUCAAAGACAAUGAACAUCAAGCCUUAGGAGCCGCCUAUUUUCAGUAACACCAGUGCUGCCCCACUUUCUGGGUCCAACGAGAGAAGAGGAGGGAGAAGGAAGCACACUCAGCUUUGGCAGGUUAUGCAGAUGCCUGAUGACACAUAGAUGACCUACUUCUCAGGCAGGGGCAGCAGCAUCAAUCACCCUCACUUGAACUAUUAGAGCUGUCAGCCUCUUGUUUAUAGAUGACAAUUCAAGGGUAGCUUUCCUUGAUUGGUGAAAUUCCCUCAAUUAAAUGAGCACAAUACUCACAAUCAGAGGCAGAAGCAAACAUACUCAGAAGCAGAGGUGAGUGGCCUCACCUGUUAAAAGGAGAAAGAGUAGAUUUUGACAUGAAAACUAUUUAGAUCUGAAAGUCAAGCUGUCAAUUUUUUAGCCUAAAGUGCAAUAUAUAUAUAUACAGACACACAUAUAUAUAUGUAUAUGCAGCACAUGUAUGUAGACAUAUAUAUAUAUAUAUAUGCAGUGCAAAUAUAUAUAUAUAUAUGCAGACAUGUAUGUAGACAUAUAUACAUAUGUAUAUAUGUAUUCUACAUAUUUAUGUAGAAUAUGAAAUUUUCUGGUAUCAUUAAAAUUUUAAAUAU
This 1122-nucleotide long non-coding RNA is filed under the name Mus caroli (Ryukyu mouse). Its description in RNAcentral is "lncRNA (MGP_CAROLIEiJ_G0004888.1)". Lineage: Eukaryota; Metazoa; Chordata; Mammalia; Rodentia; Muridae. The record is from RNAcentral.